This 117-nucleotide ribosomal RNA is filed under the name Actinomycetes bacterium. RNAcentral also lists the same sequence under 3 other names. Lineage: Bacteria; Bacillati; Actinomycetota; Actinomycetes. The record is from RNAcentral.
UUCGGCGGUCAUACCGGCGGGGAAACACCUCUUCCCAUUCCGAACAGAGAAGUUAAGCUCGCCAGGGCCGAUGGUACUCGGAGGGCAACCUCCCGGGAGAGUAGGUCGCCGCCGAUU